RNAcentral lists this ribosomal RNA (389 nucleotides) under uncultured bacterium. RNAcentral describes it as "bacterial SSU rRNA". It matches the Rfam family "Bacterial small subunit ribosomal RNA", at positions 29 to 409 of the family's 1533-position model. The record is from RNAcentral.
AAUGAACGCUGGCGGCGCGCCUAAUACAUGCAAGUCGAGCGAGAAGACGUAGCAAUACGUUUGUAAAGCGGCGAACGGGUGAGGAAUACAUGGGUAACCUACCCUCGAGUGGGGAAUAACUAGCCGAAAGGUUAGCUAAUACCGCGUACGCUUCUUGGACUUCGGUUCAGGGAGGAAAGCGAUACCGUGGGUAUCGCGCUCUUGGAUGGGCUCAUGUCCUAUCAGCUUGUUGGUGAGGUAACGGCUCACCAAGGCUUCGACGGGUAGCUGGUCUGAGAGGACGAUCAGCCACACUGGCACUGCGACACGGGCCAGACUCCUACGGGAGGCAGCAGUAAGGAAUAUUGCGCAAUGGGCAAAGCCUGACGCAGCGACGCCGCGUGGGGGAU